This is a long non-coding RNA of Bos indicus x Bos taurus (hybrid cattle), 687 nucleotides long. NCBI's taxonomy places the organism in Eukaryota, Metazoa, Chordata, Mammalia, Artiodactyla, Bovidae. The record is from Ensembl.
GUUGCACUGGGCCAUCUGUUUCCUGCCAGUACCCUGCUGAUACAAAACUCCAGAUAAACAGCCUGAAAGAGAAUUUGACAAGGAAAAGUGUGGUCAGCACAGUGAUACCGCUGUCUCUUCCAAAGGGCCGUUGCACCAACCCUCCUUCAGUUUCUGCAGAUGGUGGUUAACCCUGAUAGUCAACUCAGAUGUCUCUGAUUGAUUAGAAAUAACUAGAUGGUUUUUCAAUUGCUUCGCAUGGUAUGUUAAAGAGUUGUGUGGAACAGAAAAAGCUAAGCUUCAGAAGAAGAAGCGAUCAGGCUUGGCACACUCUUGUUCUAAAAAUGCAAUGGGGAUAUCAACUCCCCUGGGAGUGCCGUUCUCAAUAUCGAGGCUCCUCAGAAGCCAGGCUUUUCCUGCCUUGUGGAAACUCCCAGACUCCCUCUCAAGGUGAUUUGGGAUGCUUCACUUAGUUGUGAAAGACAAGGGCCUGCCUCUCAGAUCCGAGGCCAGCGCAGAGCCAAGAAUAAGGAGGCAAAAGAGGUGAGCUCUGGGCAACACCGCUCAAGUUGGGGCUUUGGGGGCAUCUAAAUGCAGGCAUGUGGCAGGAAAGCCGGCCGCAGGGUCCUUGGGCUUAGGCGUGGGGCUCCAGCCCAGGAGGGUUGGAGACUGGGUAGAAGGAACACCUCAGGCACAGCUGGAGUCCUG